CUUGUGUUUGCUACAUACAUAAAAAAUAAAUUUAAAUAUAAUAGGGUAUUUUCUUCUAAGUAAUGAGAAAUAAAUAAGGCUAAGUGACUCACCUUAUGUACAGUUCAAUGACAUCAUAAUUGAACAGCAUAUAGUGGUGCGCCUUAUCUCUUUCCUCAAGGCUCAAAUCAGUGAGGUAGUAUGAAAUGGGAAGUCCACCUGACUGUAAAAUGGACUCAAAUGCAGGCUCAAUUGGCUCAUACUAAUCAUCCUG
Molecule: long non-coding RNA, 253 nt
Filed under: Elaeis guineensis (African oil palm)
Lineage: Eukaryota; Viridiplantae; Streptophyta; Magnoliopsida; Arecales; Arecaceae
Description: long non-coding RNA (EGUI_LNC037527)
Source: RNAcentral